ACCUCUGUCUCUUCCACUCCUCCAUGGAUUAUUUAUCCCGUAGGACGCUGCUUGCGUCGAUUCGAUUCCCAUGGGCCGUUCCUCGUGAUGCUCUGCUGAGAUUUGUGCAAGAAGGAGGAUGUGCCAGUGACUCUGUCAUGUGAUCUGCGUUCUGGUAGUCCACGGGAUGCAGGAUGCUUUUUUUCAGAUCCACUCGUCCAUGUGGUUUUCUUCAAACCCCGGAUCAACCUUACGAAGAUGCACCGUGCAGGAUAGGCUAAAUCAGUGGUGUGAAGAUUCAAUAUAUUAUAUAGAUUAGAGUAGAUUCUUACUGUUUCGAGGCAAAGUUGGUUUGUGCCACUACUUGUGAUAUUCCUAACUGUUGGUGCCAUUUUUGAACUUGAUACAACAUGGAUUGAUUGUAUUAUAUUUGUCAUUUGAAGAAUCUA
Molecule: long non-coding RNA, 428 nt
Organism: Sorghum bicolor (sorghum)
Lineage: Eukaryota; Viridiplantae; Streptophyta; Magnoliopsida; Poales; Poaceae
Exons: 2
Source: RefSeq, a predicted model, not a curated record